UACGGAGGGUGCGAGCGUUGUCCGGAAUCACUGGGCGUAAAGGGCGCGUAGGCGGCCUGAUAAGUAGGGGGUGAAAUCCUGCGGCUUAACCGCAGGGCUGCCUUCUAAACUGUCAGGCUGGAGCACAGUAGAGGCAGGUGGAAUUCCCGGUGUAGCGGUGGAAUGCGUAGAGAUCGGGAAGAACAUCAGUGGCGAAGGCGGCCUGCUGGGCUGUUGCUGACGCUGAGGCGCGACGCGUGGGGAGCAAACAGG
RNAcentral lists this ribosomal RNA (252 nucleotides) under uncultured bacterium. RNAcentral's name for it is "partial 16S ribosomal RNA". It matches the Rfam family "Bacterial small subunit ribosomal RNA", at positions 524 to 776 of the family's 1533-position model. The record is from RNAcentral.